UGCAAAAGUAUACAAUAGUCUGCAGUGACUCAGUUAAAAGUUCCUAAUGAGGGAGUUGGGCUGUAGCGCAGCGGGUUAAGCGCAGGUGGUGCAAAGCACAAGGACCGGCAUAAGGAUCCCAGUUCGAACCCCGGCUCCCCACCUGCAGGGGAGACCGGCAUAAGGAUCCCAGUUCGAACCCCGGCUCCCCACCUGCAGGGGAGUCGCUUCACAGGCGGUGAAGCAGGUCUGCAGGUGUCUAUCUUUCUCUCCUCCUCUCUGUCUUCCCCUC
Molecule: long non-coding RNA, 271 nt
Organism: Erinaceus europaeus (western European hedgehog)
Lineage: Eukaryota; Metazoa; Chordata; Mammalia; Eulipotyphla; Erinaceidae
Exons: 2
Source: RefSeq, a predicted model, not a curated record